AGGGAAUCCGGUGCGAAUCCGGAACUGACGCGCAGCGGUGAGCGGCGACGGGCGGGACAACGGCCACUGGACCACGCGGUCCGGGAAGGCGUUCCGCCCGGACGACCCCGAGUCCGAAGACCU
This 123-nucleotide non-coding RNA is filed under the name Amycolatopsis methanolica. Lineage: Bacteria; Bacillati; Actinomycetota; Actinomycetes; Pseudonocardiales; Pseudonocardiaceae. The record is from RNAcentral.